AUACGUAGGGGGCAAGCGUUAUCCGGAUUUACUGGGUGUAAAGGGAGCGUAGGUGGUUCGGCAAGUCAGAUGUGAAAGCCCGGGGCUCAACCCCGGGACUGCAUUUGAAACUGCCGUACUAGAGUGCAGGAGAGGUAAGUGGAAUUCCUAGUGUAGCGGUGAAAUGCGUAGAUAUUAGGAGGAACACCAGUGGCGAAGGCGGCUCACUGGACUGUAACUGACACUGAGGCUCGAAAGUGUGGGGAGC
RNAcentral lists this ribosomal RNA (247 nucleotides) under uncultured bacterium. RNAcentral describes it as "partial 16S ribosomal RNA". It matches the Rfam family "Bacterial small subunit ribosomal RNA", at positions 523 to 769 of the family's 1533-position model. The record is from RNAcentral.